UCUCGGCCGUUGAUUACGGCAACAUAAAUACAGAGAAAUGGAAGCUUACAAAAACUAGUUUCUUCUAUUUCGCUUCUUUUCCUACGGCUCUCUUCAACUUUCUCCUUCUCUCAAGCUAGGGCAAAGUGCAUUUCAGCUUGAUUUGGAUCUUCGCUCAGUCUCUGUCAAGAAACACAAGGCAAACUCCAGCGGCUAAGGAACACUCAUCGUAUUCAGGUCUGUUCACAAGUUAGUUUUUUGCAUCAAUAUUUGGCCAUGGAUUUAGGGAUUACUCGUCAUAUAAAAUCUCUGUUCGUGUUAUUAUAAAAAAAUCUCUAUUCAUGUAAUGAACACAGCUCUUAUAAAGAAAUGGAGCCUCCUAUCAUAUGAGUUACAUUCCCAAUUCAUUAUUCAAAUAUAUGUGAAACACAAGGCAAACGACAUGCUCUAACGGCGUCAUACUCAGAAGGCAAACGACAUCUUCAGCGGCUAAGGAACACUAGCCAUAUUCAGGUUAGUUUAUAAGUUACUCAUUUUUUGCAUCAAUAUUUGGCCAUGGAUUUGGGCCUUUGAAUUUGAUCCAAACCCAUCCUUCAGAUAUUACUCUUUUGAAUUAUACAAAAUAUUAUAUAAAAU
Cucurbita pepo subsp. pepo (vegetable marrow) is the source of this 615-nucleotide long non-coding RNA. RefSeq lists it as uncharacterized. Lineage: Eukaryota; Viridiplantae; Streptophyta; Magnoliopsida; Cucurbitales; Cucurbitaceae. The record is from RefSeq and is a predicted model, not a curated record.